CCAGACGAUCGGAUGGCCGCCUUCGGCUCAGGCCGGGGGAGGAAAGUCCGGGCUCCACGGAAACACGGUGCCGGGUAACGCCCGGCGGGGGCGACCCCAGGGACAGUGCCACAGAAAGCAAACCGCCCGGCCCAGGCCGGGCAAGGGUGAAAGGGUGCGGUAAGAGCGCACCGCGCGCCCGGCAACGGGUGCGGCACGGUAAACCCCACCGGGAGCAAGACCGAAUAGGGGCGGGCGGGCUUCGGCCCACGGCAGUUUCCGGCCGCCGCCCGGGUUGGUUGCGCGAGGCGUCCGGCGACGGGCGUCCCAGAUGAAUGGUCAUCCCCCGGCCGGCAACGGACGGGGACAGAACCCGGCUUACAGAUCGUCUGGCCCC
Molecule: RNase P RNA, 376 nt
Filed under: Rhodospirillaceae bacterium
Lineage: Bacteria; Pseudomonadati; Pseudomonadota; Alphaproteobacteria; Rhodospirillales; Rhodospirillaceae
Description: RNase P RNA component class A
Rfam family: Bacterial RNase P class A
About the family: Ribonuclease P (RNase P) is a ubiquitous endoribonuclease, found in archaea, bacteria and eukarya as well as chloroplasts and mitochondria. Its best characterised activity is the generation of mature 5'-ends of tRNAs by cleaving the 5'-leader elements of precursor-tRNAs.
Source: RNAcentral